This 113-nucleotide small nucleolar RNA is filed under the name Echinops telfairi (small Madagascar hedgehog). RNAcentral's name for it is "Small nucleolar RNA SNORA61 (ENSETEG00000025997.1)". The record is from RNAcentral. Lineage: Eukaryota; Metazoa; Chordata; Mammalia; Afrosoricida; Tenrecidae.
ACCCUCCAGCUUCCUCACCCAUCAGAUCUAAACGCUGGUCUGAGUAGUUAUAAAAAAGUGGAAAAACAAAAUUGAAACUGACUUCAAGUGUUUGGCGACAUAUGAGCUAGGGG